RNAcentral lists this ribosomal RNA (859 nucleotides) under Pseudomonas sp. RNAcentral's name for it is "bacterial SSU rRNA". It matches the Rfam family "Bacterial small subunit ribosomal RNA", at positions 68 to 922 of the family's 1533-position model. Lineage: Bacteria; Pseudomonadati; Pseudomonadota; Gammaproteobacteria; Pseudomonadales; Pseudomonadaceae. The record is from RNAcentral.
GGUAGAGAGAAGCUUGCUUCUCUUGAGAGCGGCGGACGGGUGAGUAAUGCCUAGGAAUCUGCCUGGUAGUGGGGGAUAACGUUCGGAAACGGACGCUAAUACCGCAUACGUCCUACGGGAGAAAGCAGGGGACCUUCGGGCCUUGCGCUAUCAGAUGAGCCUAGGUCGGAUUAGCUAGUUGGUGAGGUAAUGGCUCACCAAGGCGACGAUCCGUAACUGGUCUGAGAGGAUGAUCAGUCACACUGGAACUGAGACACGGUCCAGACUCCUACGGGAGGCAGCAGUGGGGAAUAUUGGACAAUGGGCGAAAGCCUGAUCCAGCCAUGCCGCGUGUGUGAAGAAGGUCUUCGGAUUGUAAAGCACUUUAAGUUGGGAGGAAGGGCAGUUACCUAAUACGUGAUUGUUUUGACGUUACCGACAGAAUAAGCACCGGCUAACUCUGUGCCAGCAGCCGCGGUAAUACAGAGGGUGCAAGCGUUAAUCGGAAUUACUGGGCGUAAAGCGCGCGUAGGUGGUUAGUUAAGUUGGAUGUGAAAUCCCCGGGCUCAACCUGGGAACUGCAUUCAAAACUGACUGACUAGAGUAUGGUAGAGGGUGGUGGAAUUUCCUGUGUAGCGGUGAAAUGCGUAGAUAUAGGAAGGAACACCAGUGGCGAAGGCGACCACCUGGACUGAUACUGACACUGAGGUGCGAAAGCGUGGGGAGCAAACAGGAUUACAUACCCUGGUAGUCCACGCCGUACACGAUGUCAACUAGCCGUUGGGAGCCUUGAGCUCUUAUUGUCGCAGCUAACGCAUUAAGUUGACCGCCUGGGGAGUACGGCCGCAAGGCUAAAACUCCAAUGAAUUGACGGGGCCCG